RNAcentral lists this ribosomal RNA (254 nucleotides) under uncultured bacterium. RNAcentral's name for it is "partial 16S ribosomal RNA". It matches the Rfam family "Bacterial small subunit ribosomal RNA", at positions 524 to 776 of the family's 1533-position model. The record is from RNAcentral.
UACGGGGGGAGCAAGCGUUGUUCGGAUUUACUGGGCGUAAAGGGCGCGUAGGCGGUCAGCACAAGUCAGUUGUGAAAUCUCCGGGCUUAACCCGGAAAGGUCAACUGAUACUGUGCGACUAGAGUGCGGAAGGGGCAACUGGAAUUCUCGGUGUAGCGGUGAAAUGCGUAGAUAUCGAGAGGAACACCUGCGGCGAAGGCGGGUAGCUGGGCCGACACUGACGCUGAUGCGCGAAAGCCAGGGGAGCGAACGGG